Molecule: long non-coding RNA, 5816 nt
Filed under: Sus scrofa (pig)
Lineage: Eukaryota; Metazoa; Chordata; Mammalia; Artiodactyla; Suidae
Description: lncRNA (ENSSSCG00060064224.1)
Source: RNAcentral
UUUUUUUUUUUUUGGUCUUUUGUUUUUUUAGGGCUGCAUCCGUGGCAUAAGGAGGAUUCCAGGCUAGGGGUCGAAUUGGAGCUGUAGCCGCCGGCCUGCACCACGGCCACAGCAACGUGGAAUCCAAGCCUCAUCUGUGACCUACACCACAGCUCCUGGCAACACCGGAUCCUUAACCCACUGAGCGAGGCCAAGGAUCGAACCCGUGUCUUCAUGGAUACUAAUCAGGUUUGAUAACUACUGAGCCACAAUGCGAACUCCUGUUUGUUUCACAUCUUAACAUCACUGAGAUAGGGAUGGAUGUUGGCCAGGAGCCAUCAUGACAUCACUGGCAUUACCUACACAGGGGCAUCAAAAUUUGCACAAAGGUGUCAUUGUUUAAAAAAAAUUCCAAAGACAGUUGGGCGGCCUUCUUUUAAGAAAACACAGACAUCAAUGGCACUGAGCUUAGAAAAUUUGAUCUCUGAAUAUGAAGGUGUUCGGGAAUAUCUUUGCCAAUUUAUUUCACUUAUAUUUUCUUUUUAAGUGUGCAAAUGAAUGAUCUAAGAUUUUUUUAAAAAUCUGCGUUUAAGUAUGAAGGAGCCUUUUAUUAAGUACAAAAGAAAAAUCUGAGUGAUUAAAGAAGCACUAUACGGUAUCUUCUUUGGCAAUAAUUUUUUACUUUCUUAGUACGUAAAAUAAUGAUGCAUUUUACAACUGACGGAGUCAAAGAAAUUCAAUAAAAUGCAGCAAUAAAUGUUAACACUGUUUAUCACUGCCCCCCUCACCAUCCUCAAGAUAUCUUCUGCUCAGUGCUAAGCAUCCAGCUAGACCAUAAUAAAACCUUCUAGAACUGAAUUGGAUGGAACAGUCAGACACCUCCAAGUGAUCAUCACACCAUCCAAUAUCGGGAGGGAAAAACAUGUUUGGGGCACUCGGAAAGUAAAUCAUCGAGCGAACACACAGGAGGAGGUCUGAGUCAAUACAGGAGGAUAAUUUAUUGAAAUAUUAAUUAGAGUUUGUUCUUCCUCUGUCUCCUCCUUCAAGCAGGUAGGCAAGCUUUGUAAUUCUCAGCCUCAGGAGUUUUAGCAGGGCUGCAAACAGAAGCUGCCUGAAGUUAAAGGCGCUUCUGAUCCUUUGAAAAAGGUGAAGUUAUUGAAGGGAUGGGACAGGGUCAUUGGGGUGAGCUGGAGGUACUCAGAGGACCUGAACUUGGGAACCAGUGAGCUGGCCUGGGGCUCGGGCAGGGAAACUCCUGGAAGUUAGGACCUGGCUCCUGUGCCCCAAAGAUGUGAACCCUCAUGGGGCCUGGGUGCCGAACUGACCCAGCUCCAGCCCUUAGGGCCACGGCUCUCAGCCUCCGCAAAGGUUCUGGCAUCUCAUGCCUGGAAGGGAAGCUGCAGGGCCCCAGAGCCUAAAGGGACUGCGCUGGCUGAGAUAGGAGGGGCCUUUGCACCUGCGCAGUCCUGGGUGUCAGCCUUUCCCAGGAGAUUUCUCCAGGUACCUGUAAGUUACAGCUCCCACCCGUCAGGCAGCAUGAGUCUCCAAGUUAGAAGUCAGUCAAUUUAAAGAAAGUGGAAGAAGACGCUCGAGCUUUGCAACUUGAGUGUGUAAACCAGAACCUACAGCACAUGACAUCAACAAAACUAGUCGGAAAGCUUGGGCAGCUAAGGAGCCUGCAUCCCACCCCUCGAGGAUGCAUUCGCAGUUCCCGGCAGCCCAUAGAGCUAAGAUGCUCUAUCUCUUCAGACCCUGCUGGAGGAGAGGGGCACAUCAGAGAGCUGGCAGGCUGGGCCUCCCCACAUCCUGUCAGUCACACUGAAGGCAGCUUUAAUGGUCUGGCGUCACGCAACCCUCUCGAAGGCCAGCCCCCCUGGACGGCUGUUUGCAAACUCUUCUCCAAAGCCGCUUCCCUUGAAGAGAGUUGCUACACAAUCAUUACAAAUUGAUUGCAAAAGAGCUAACAAUCAUGAUUAAAUCAUUAAAUUCUUGUCUACGCUUCAGAGAGCGGUGAGAAAAUUAACUUCCCACCAACCUAAUUUUUUCCUGAACAUGAAAUAAUGAUUUUCUGCCCGUCUAAUUACAAAGCCAACAUCUGAUCAAGCCAGCAUCCAGAGGGGAUUAUCGCAUGCACGAGUAUUAGACCUCAUUACCAGCUUGAGUGCAAAAUUAUUACAUCUUGUAAUUGGAUGGUGAGAUUUAUAUACAGAUCGGCCCGGUUUCUGUAAGAUUGUAAUUACAAGCUUCGUUGGUUAGCUACUUAUCACUCAGCACAGAAGAGAGGAAAAUAAGCAACAGAAAAGGCAUUUCAUUAACCCAUAACCCUAUCAAGGGAAAGCCACUGUAACACCCAUGUCUGCAUUAGGGAGAACAGCUAAAUUCACAGAUGAAACAAUUUAUUAUACUCUUUGCAAAUGGGAUUGCAUUUUGUUUAACCCCUAAUGAACUCUUUGGGUAAAGUGUCUGAACAAACCAUUCAUUUUAUAGACAACUAGGUUCAAUACAGUAAUUAUAAGGGGUAACUGACUGAGAUAAAUGCUCACCUGCUUAGAAGCAGUUGAUUAGAGACACAAUUGCUGGGCGCCUGGGCUCCCGGCACAAAGGGCCCCGGGGCUGGGACAGCGACAGCACUGGCUUCCCUGAGCGGCCGGGAGGGAGCGGGAUCCCAGCCGACAAAGCUCCUCCACUCGGAGGAAGCUCUGCCCAUUCGUUCGUCAAGCUUGGCUGGAACGGACGAGGUUUAAUAAAGCUGCAAGGGCGACACAGUUUAACAAUUUUAGAGGCACUGGGGUGGAACACAGAAAUUUAAAUACCGCCUGAUGAAGGCGCCUCGCCUGCUCCAGAUGCGCGACCUAAAUUAAAUGUUACCUUUUCACGUGUUGAUGGCACAACAAUGGGCCUCACACAAAGUCGGCUCUGCAAGGUGUGGAACUGCCAGAGGAGGUGACACCCGCUGUGGGUUCUUUUCCCCUCUACUGCCCUGCGCCCCUCAUUCCGGAAAGCCACAAAGCUUUAACUGCAACUUUUGUGCCCAUGAGCCCAGUCUAUUUCCUGUGAAAAUUACAUGAAAUGCAGAGGUCGGUGCGCAUAAGUAAAGUUUUACAGGUACAGGGGAGUUGCCCUGGUGACUCACUGAGUUAAGAAUCUGACUAGUAUCCAUGAGGAUGUAGAUUCGAUCCCUGGCCUCGCUCAGAGGGUUAAGGAUCCAGCAUUGCCACAAGCUGCGGUAUAGGUUGCAGAUGCGGCUCAGAUCCAGCAUUGUGGCUGUGGUAUAGGCCAGCAGCUGCAGCUCUGAUUCAAGCCCUAGCCUGGGAACCUCCAAAUGCCAUAAGUACAGCCCUAAGAAAAGAGAAAAGAAAAGAAAAAAAGAAAAAAACAAGAAAAUCCCCAGCUACAUUCCUCCGUUUGAGUUGUUUGUGGCUGUUUUCUGCUAUGAACGCUGACCCCAGAGCCUGGAAUACUUACUCUCUGUCCAACUCCUAUUCUACUCACUUGGCUGCACAGGCGUCUAUUCAUUGGACAUUGACUUAAUGCUUAGAGUCUAAGUAUAUGCUAUGCUCUGGGCCAAGUGCUGGAACACAAAGAAGGAAGGGACAUAGUUCCUGCCCUCGAGGACCUCACACUCUGGGGGGGAAUAACAGACCAGGACACACUGGGGCUUCAGCACCACAAAGCAUCCGUUUCUGCUUUUUCUGGUUCCAUUGUCCUGGAUUUUCUAGGUGAAACUAGCCUCCCCUUCACUCAUGACCUUCACGAUUGGUGCAAGGAUGACACAUGGUUUAGACAGAAGAGUAAGCCCCAAGCCAGGUCUGCUGUUGGGGCUGUGGGCAGUAAGGGGCCCUCCCUCUUUGGGUUGGAGGUAGACUGGGUUGGUUUAGGUCUGGGACCCUGAGAAACACCUUGCUGCCCCUGGGAGCCUGUGAAGAAGGGCCCCAAGAGGGGAGUUGAACGGAACAAUGGAAAGAGCCUGGGUUCUGAUAGCCCUGUCUGAGCCCUUGAAUCUAACCAUGCCUGAAGUGCAUCUACCCCUGGACUUUUUCACUUUAUGAGCCAAUAAAGUACAUUUUUGCUUGAACCAGUGUACUGUCACAAUCAUUCAUCCACGAAUGAAUAAAAAAGAAGACAGAAUGAAAUAGGUGUCAUGCACGAGGUAUGAUCAGUGUCUUGUAGAAGCCCAGGCAAGAGCUUGAGUCUGUCAGGGACUCAAGGGGUCAGUCCUUCCUGGAAGAGGUGGACUUUGAACCUAGGCUCUGAAUGGAUGUCAGGUUUUUGAUACAUGGAGAAAGGGAGUGAUCAAAUUCCAGGCUGAGGGCUCAGCUCUCGGCAACAGCAGGAGAGCAUGGAGGGUGUACAAGGAAUAGUGUGAAGGGACUGGAAGAUGAGCUGGGAGAGAGGUUAGGACCCGGUCAGGCACACUUGCUGGGUUCUCUCACCUCAUCUCAGCUCCUUCUGAGCCUCUCAGAGGGCUUAUUCUCAGAGCAUUGAGGCCCAUGCAUACUGGUGCUUUCUUCGUCAGGACAUUAUGAGGGUCACUACCACGAAGACAUGACAGCCGACAAACUCACCUUGGCCUCCAGGGAUCCCCAUCUCCUGGUGUUCAUACCCUAGUGUAAUCGCCCCUGGAGGGUGGGAGGGAUUUCUGCUUUGCCUCUAGACAGUAGAAUACAGCAAAGGUGAAAAUCUAUGAAACACUGAUGAAAGAAAUCAGAGAAGACCAAAUAUAUCAUGUUUGACGAUUAGAAGAGCCAAUAUUCCUACUGUGUCAACUCCUUCCAAAUGGGAUUUAUAGAUUAGAAGCUAUUCAAAUCAAAAUCCCAGCAGCAUUCUUUGUAGGAAUCUACACACGGAUUCUAAACUGUAUAUGAAAACUCGAAGGUAUGACUAGAGACCUAUAGAUUUAGCCCUCUUACUUGAAUUAGGAACAACUCUGAAAAACCAGCUGGUUACAGAGCUCCCUGGAGGUGAGCUGAGGCCUCGGUUGCAACCACAUCUUGGUGCAGCUCCUCCUUCUGCCCAGUCCUGCUUCCUCACUUCCUUGCAGGAUGUCUGCUGGGUCUCUAUACAAGUCUCCACCUCGGAGUCAGUUUCCAGGGAUUCCCAUCUAAUCCUAUAAGUGUGAAUGAAUUUUUGUUAAAUGAAAAUGUUGACUAGUUAAGGGGUGGUUUGAGAGUUUAAAAAAAAAUAAGACCAAUAUGCCAGACAAAUGUGGCACACACAAAAAAAAUGUGUCACGGUGUCAAUUUUAAAAUAUUAUCUGUGAGUUUAGCCCUGAUUCCUGAAGAAGUCUGUUUAAAAAAAGUGGGGGUGGGAGGAGUGCCCAUUCAUGACUCAGAAGUAACAAAUCUGACUAGUGUCCAUGAGGACUCAGGUUCGAUCCCUGGCCUCUCUCAGUGGGUUAAGGAUCCGGUGUUGCUGUGAGCUGUGGUGUAGGUCGCAGACAUGGCUCAGAUCCCAUGUUGCUGUUGCUGUGGCUCUGGCGUAGGCUGGCAGCUGUAGCUCCAAUUUGACCCCUAGCCUGGGAACUUCCAUAUACCUCAGAUGCAGCCGUAAAAAGAAAAAAAAAUAGAGGGAGACUUUAAAACAUAUAUACUAUGUGAUUACACUUAUAUAUUAUUCUUAAAGUGAUGAAAGCAUAGAAAUGGGGAACAGAUGUAUGGUUGCCAGUGGUUACAGAGAGGGUGGGGAUGGGAAAGUAGAUACAGCCUCUAGGGGCAACAUGAGGGAUCCUUGUGAUGAUGGAAAUGUUUGGUAUCUGACAUGAUAUCAGUAUCCUGCUUGUGAUAUUGUAAGGUGUUGCUAUUGGGAGAAACUGGAUAAAGGGUAUGUGGGAUCUCUUU